AUCCAUCCAGGGUUUGUGAUUGGUCCUGUCUUCCAGCCAACUCUGAAUAUCACUAUGAGGAUUAUUUUGAACUACAUAACUGGUAAUCUUCUCAGUUGUGGAUGUUGCAUAUGCAACUACUGCAAUCCUUCAUGAAUCUGUUUGCUGGAAGCAAUUGUCUUUUUACGUGCAGGUCAAACAUUUCCAAAUGAGACUUUAAGAUCUGUUGAUGUUAGAGAUGUUGCAAAUGCACAUAUUCUAGCAUUUGAAAGAUCUUCAGCCAGUGGCAGAUACUGUUUAGUUGGAACAGUUGUGCACUUCUCUGAGUUUUUGAAGAUUGUUCACAAACAUUACCCAACUCCGCACAUUCCUGAAAAAUGUCAAGAUGACAAGUCUUUUGUUCCAAAACAUGAGGUAUCCAAGGAGAAAGCAAAAGCUUUGGGCAUUGACUUCAUUCCUUUGGAACUGAGUGUUGUAGAUGCCAUUGAAAGCUUGAAGGAGAAAGGCUUUCUUAAUGUCUGAAUACAUAGAGAACUGAAGGAGACAAAUAAAUAAGGAAUUGGAAAGUAGACCUCAAUAAAUAUAUUUUAAUUAUUAUUUUUCCCUUCUUAGUUAUGUUUUAAUUAAUAUUUCCUUUCUAGUAUAAUGAAAGGAGUCACUUGAAUUAAUAAAUUUAAGCAGAAUUAUUUUUAACUAAAUUUGAGAUCUGGACUCUCUUCUCCAAGCAGCCUAAAGUUAGAGCUCCCUUUUAACGAGCUCACGUUUUCAACAACAUCAGGUUGAGGAAAUAAUCGUGAUAAAGCAAAAGUUUUAGCUUUUGAAUCAGAUUUCACUAUUAAUAAGCCCGUGACUCGAUCCUGAGCGAGAGAUCAUAACAACUUGGUAUUAGAGCCGGCUGUCAUAGACGAUACAGAUCCGAGAGAAGAAUUGAGGGCACUAUUCCCAGAAACACAACUAUUGACUAAAGCACGAGUAGCAUAAGCUGAAUCAAGGAUAGAAGAUCAGAUCGAGCAAUCAAAGUAAAAACUGGAAUGCCAAUUGCAAAACUUGUCCCCUUAAUUACAAGAGUUCAGUAAGGAAACUUACAAGAGCCGACACAAGGAAAAAGGGAGCGGCUCAAAUAGCAGUAAUAACAAUGAAGGCAACAAUAAUAGGACAAAUGGAAAAACAGAAGCAAGACCUGGGGCAAGGGUAGUAUCAAGAUAUACGAAAUUGGAUUUUCCAACAUUUGAUGGAUCCAAAGAUCCGUUGAUUUGGUUACACCGAUAUGAACAAUAAUUUUCAAAUCGAUGGGAGCUAGUAUCAGAUAAAGUGAACCUUGCAGCAUUCCAUAUGACAGGAGAAGCACAACUCUGAUUUCACAUAUUAGAACAAGAAGAACCCCUACUAUCGUGGAACGCAUUCAAAGAACAUUGCAAUUUGAGAUUCGGACCUCCACUCAGUAGCAAUCCU
Molecule: unclassified non-coding RNA, 1431 nt
Filed under: Hevea brasiliensis (rubber tree)
Lineage: Eukaryota; Viridiplantae; Streptophyta; Magnoliopsida; Malpighiales; Euphorbiaceae
Source: RNAcentral